GGGGGGGGGGGGGGGGGGGGGUGGGGGGGGGGGGGCGGGCGGACGGGUGGGGGGUUGCGCCGGGACCGGCCGCGGCGGGGGGGUGGGUGACGCGUGGGCGACCUGCCUGUAAGACUGGGGUAACUGCGGGAAACCGGGGCUACUACCGGGUAACUCUUUCCCUCACCGGGGGGCAAGCUGCAAUGAGCCCUCGCGCUAUCCCUUCCCGCUGGGCCCGGGGCGCAUUAGCUAGUUGGUGCGGUAACGGCUCACCAAGGCGACGAUGCGUAGCCGACCUGAGAGGGUGAUCGGCCACACUGGGACUGAGACACGGCCCAGACUCCUACGGGAGGCAGCAGUAGGGAAUCUUCCGCAAUGGACGAAAGUCUGACGGAGCAACGCCGCGUGAGUGAUGAAGGUUUUCGGAUCGUAAAACUCUGUUGUCAGGGAAGAACAAGUACCGGAGUAACUGCCGGUACCUUGACGGUACCUGACCAGAAAGCCACGGCUAACUACGUG
This 498-nucleotide ribosomal RNA is filed under the name uncultured bacterium. RNAcentral's name for it is "partial 16S ribosomal RNA". It matches the Rfam family "Bacterial small subunit ribosomal RNA", at positions 35 to 507 of the family's 1533-position model. The record is from RNAcentral.